Molecule: transfer RNA, 82 nt
Filed under: Cronartium comandrae C4
Lineage: Eukaryota; Fungi; Basidiomycota; Pucciniomycetes; Pucciniales; Coleosporiaceae
Description: tRNA-Und (NNN) (tRNA-Und-NNN-46-1)
Rfam family: tRNA
About the family: Transfer RNA (tRNA) molecules are approximately 80 nucleotides in length. Their secondary structure includes four short double-helical elements and three loops (D, anti-codon, and T loops).
Source: RNAcentral
GAAUGGAUAGCCUAGUGGUUAAGGCAUUACAUACAAGUUGUGUACCACUCAAGGGUCCUUAGUUUGAAUCCAAGUCUAGUCA